Molecule: ribosomal RNA, 468 nt
Filed under: uncultured bacterium
Lineage: Bacteria
Description: partial 16S ribosomal RNA
Rfam family: Bacterial small subunit ribosomal RNA
Source: RNAcentral
AACGAACGCUGGCGGCGUGCUUAACACAUGCAAGUCGAACGGAAAGGCCCUGCUUUGUGGGGGUGCUCUAGUUGCGAACGGGUGAGUAACACGUGAGUUACCUGCCCUUGACUGUGGGAUAACUUCAGGCAACUGGGGCUAAUACCGGCUAGGAGCUCCUGCUGCUUGGUGGGCGCUGGAAAGUUUCGGCGGUUGGGGGUGGACUCGCGGCUUAUCAGCUUGUUGGUGGGGUAGUGGCUUACCAAGGCUUUGACGGGUAGCCGGCCUGAGUGGGUGACCGGGCACAGUGGGACUGAGAUACGGCCAAGACCCAUACGGGAGCGAGAAGUGGGGAAUAUUGCACAAUGGGCGGAAGCGUGAUGCAGCACCGCCGCGUGCGGGAUGACGGCCUACGGGUUGGAAACGGCUUUCGCCUGUGACGAAGCGUGAGUGAAGGUAAUCGGUAAAGAAGGACCCGCUAAAUACGGG